This 679-nucleotide ribosomal RNA is filed under the name Micrococcus luteus. RNAcentral describes it as "bacterial SSU rRNA". It matches the Rfam family "Bacterial small subunit ribosomal RNA", at positions 247 to 924 of the family's 1533-position model. The record is from RNAcentral. Lineage: Bacteria; Bacillati; Actinomycetota; Actinomycetes; Micrococcales; Micrococcaceae.
UGUUGGGAGGUAAUGGCUCACCAAGGCGACGACGGGUAGCCGGCCUGAGAGGGUGACCGGCCACACUGGGACUGAGACACGGCCCAGACUCCUACGGGAGGCAGCAGUGGGGAAUAUUGCACAAUGGGCGAAAGCCGAUGCAGCGACGCCGCGUGAGGGAUGACGGCCUUCGGGUUGUAAACCUCUUUCAGUAGGGAAGAAGCGAAAGUGACGGUACCUGCAGAAGAAGCACCGGCUAACUACGUGCCAGCAGCCGCGGUAAUACGUAGGGUGCGAGCGUAUCCGGAAUUAUUGGGCGUAAAGAGCUCGUAGGCGGUUUGUCGCGUCUGUCGUGAAAGUCCGGGGCUUAACCCCGGAUCUGCGGUGGGACGGGCAGACUAGAGUGCAGUAGGGGAGACUGGAAUUCCUGGUGUAGCGGUGGAAUGCGCAGAUAUCAGGAGGAACACCAUGGCGAAGGCAGGUCUCUGGGCUGUAACUGACGCUGAGGAGCGAAAGCAUGGGGGAGCGAACAGGAUUAGAUACCCCUGGUAGUCCAUGCCCGUAAACGUUGGGCACUAAGGUGUGGGGGACCAUUUCACCGGUUUCCCCCGCCGCAGCUUAACGCAUUUAAUUGCCCCCGCCUGGGGGAGUACCGGCCGCCAAGGCUAAAAACUUCAAAAGGAAUUUGACGGGGGGCCCC